Long non-coding RNA from Salvelinus namaycush (lake trout), 224 nucleotides. RefSeq lists it as uncharacterized. The record is from RefSeq and is a predicted model, not a curated record. The transcript is spliced from 3 exons. Lineage: Eukaryota; Metazoa; Chordata; Actinopteri; Salmoniformes; Salmonidae.
GGGCACUGGAAGGUAAUAACUAAUGUCACAGUCACUGUGAAUGGAGAAUUCAACAACCACACCAACAGGAAUGACACAGCCCCGUUAUAUACUCCUGGGGAUCCUUACAUACCACUGUAUGUAGUGGGAGCCUUGUUCUUCUCCUGCCUGUUUGUUACUGUCAUUGUCAUGAUGAAAAAUACCAAGAUUUCGCAAGCAGAAUCUCACACUCUGAGAAUGAAAAG